RNAcentral lists this unclassified non-coding RNA (331 nucleotides) under uncultured fungus. Its description in RNAcentral is "partial contains small subunit ribosomal RNA, internal transcribed spacer 1, and 5.8S ribosomal RNA". The stretch from base 1 to 73 matches the Rfam family "Eukaryotic small subunit ribosomal RNA", at positions 1759 to 1831 of the family's 1831-position model. The record is from RNAcentral. Lineage: Eukaryota; Fungi.
GCAAACUUGGUCAUUUAGAGGAAGUAAAAGUCGUAACAAGGUUUCCGUAGGUGAACCUGCGGAAGGAUCAUUACGAAAUGAACACUCUUCGCUCCUCAUGUUGGCGUCAAAACCUUCUGGGGAUGCAGAAGUUUCAACCCUUUGUGAACCAUAAAAAAACUUUCGCUUCGGCAGCAUGUCCGGGCUUAUGCUCUGGCUUGUCAGCCUGCCGGUGGCACAUCCAAACUAAACUUGUUGAAUGAACCUGUCUGAUAAACCAAUUUUCGAAUUGAAAAAAGUUAAAACUUUCAACAACGGAUCUCUUGGUUCUCGCAUCGAUGAAGAACGCAGC